Molecule: unclassified non-coding RNA, 893 nt
Filed under: uncultured fungus
Lineage: Eukaryota; Fungi
Description: sequence contains 18S rRNA gene, ITS1, 5.8S rRNA gene, ITS2, 28S rRNA gene
Source: RNAcentral
GACUCAGCUUGUUCGGUAUAUCGAUCUCGCGCGAGGAGUCGACGCCGUCGAACGACAUCGUAAUCGUCACCGACAGUGGCCUCGUACCCGACCCGAACACGAUGCUGGCGGAGCGCUAUACGGCACGCCGUGCCGCCCGCCUCAACUUCCUGUGGGGAAUUCGCAACGUGCGAUUCAAGCGUGUCGAGGGGUUCGACGCGCUUACUGGCGAGCAGGACAUUCGAACGGGCUUUCAGCUCGGCACGUUGCUUGGCCGGAGCCUGUCGGUGCUGGGCACGCACGAUGACGACAUCAUCCUGUCGACCGACAUUUACGCCGGGGCCGGGUCGGCGCGGACGUUCGCUGCCAUCCAGUUGUUAGGCGAAGGGCGGCAGAACUACGACGAGAAUCAGUGGGACGAUAUUCUCUCGACCGGUCGUGCCGCGGUAUACGUCAAACCGCAUCCCCGGCACACGUCGAUCCUGAGUGGCGAGUGGAGCGGCGGAUGGCGGCAGCGGGCGCCAUUUCAGCUGAGGCUUGGUGAGUCGCGCGGGGGGAUGCGAGGUUACUCGAGCGCAGAGUUGCCAGGCGGGCAACGCGCGAUCGCUCGACUCGAGGAGCGAUGGGUGCUGGGCAACGUGCGCGGCAACGCGGACGCAGGCAUCGCGUUGCUCGCCGAAGCGGGUCGCGUGUGGGCGGGCGACGUCCCGUUCGGCACGACGUCGGGAUGGAAAUACUCCCUCGGCACGAGCUUGCUCGCGGCGCUGCCGCCUGGCUCGAAGCGGCUCUGGCGUGUGGACCUCAUGCUGCCGCUCGAUCGCGAGGAGGGGGCUCGCCUGGAGCUGCGACUGCGUAUCGAGGAUCGCACGCGGACAUUCUGGCGCGAGCCGCGCGAUGUCGAGCGAAGCCGCGAG